This 24-nucleotide non-coding RNA is filed under the name Arabidopsis thaliana (thale cress). The record is from RNAcentral. Lineage: Eukaryota; Viridiplantae; Streptophyta; Magnoliopsida; Brassicales; Brassicaceae.
GCCGAACUGGUGGUUUGGUGGAGU